Molecule: RNase P RNA, 378 nt
Filed under: Cryobacterium psychrotolerans
Lineage: Bacteria; Bacillati; Actinomycetota; Actinomycetes; Micrococcales; Microbacteriaceae
Also listed under: 1 other name
Description: Bacterial RNase P class A
Rfam family: Bacterial RNase P class A
About the family: Ribonuclease P (RNase P) is a ubiquitous endoribonuclease, found in archaea, bacteria and eukarya as well as chloroplasts and mitochondria. Its best characterised activity is the generation of mature 5'-ends of tRNAs by cleaving the 5'-leader elements of precursor-tRNAs.
Source: Rfam by way of RNAcentral
UGGGUCGGCAAGACGGUCGCGUCAUUCGGUGCUUUUCGGAGCAGCGGAUGCCGAGGAACGUCCGGGCUCCACAGAGCAGGGCGGUGGGUAACACCCACCCGGGGCAACCCGCGAGACAGUGCCACAGAAAGUAAACCGCCACCGGCCUCGGCUGGGGGUAAGGGUGAAACGGUGGUGUAAGAGACCACCAGAGGCCAGGGUGACCUGGUCGGCUCGGUAAACCUCGUCCGGAGCAAGGUCGAACAGGAAACGCUAAGGCUGCUCGCCGAGUUUCCGGGUAGACCGCUAGAGGGCUGCGGCAACGCAGUCCCAAGAUAGAUGGCCGUCCAGGGUGCUUUGGCACCGGGACAGAACCCGGCGUACCAGCCGGCCCAUUCC